AGAGAAAAUGAAGAGUGGAAAAACAAAGGGGGGGGUGAAAAAAUCGAGAAGGUUAGAACGAGAAAGACAAGGUGGAGGAGAGAACGCCAAGGCAGGAGAACGGGAGGAUGUCCUCGAGACGAUUCGGCAGCAGGUCGGAGGAGGAGGAGGAGGAGGAGGAGAUGCAUGAAUGUGCUUCUUUCCGUUGGCCCGGCAGAGAAUUCAAGAAGAGCAGAAAGGAAAAAAGCAGACUGGGAGGGGCACAAGAUGAAGGAAUGGGGCAAAUUGGUGUCAGCUCAGCUGAUUUUUGUAUUCGCGCGUGAGGAGGUAAAGGAGGAGAGGGCGAGAAGGAAGGCAUGCGGCAUAAAGGCCGGGAGUGGGUGAGAAUGAAAAGGAGCUGUCAUUUCUCACCCAGCUUAAGAAAAUGAUCUUACCGGGGCCCUAAUGCAAGAAACAAUUUGUGUGAUUUGAGGUAGAAGCAAAUUUGCUUUAUCGGGCUAUUUUUGGCAAGCGAAGAACCGAAACGCAUCAUCAAAGGGAAGCUGCAGCCAAACAUGAAGUCAAAAUGGCUUUAAUCAUCAAUACUGUGUUUUUGCUGCAUGCCUGCUGGUGAUUUAGCUUCACAGGAUUCCUGUUGCUUCUAUCAAGAGUCUGAGGCAAUUAGAACUUCGUCAGCUUCAGCGUCACAAAGCCGCUGUAUGGUUGUUGCAAGGUUACUUGAAAGGUCAAUGUUCUUCAUUUGUCAUUGUUCUCUUUAACAAGAUGUGCUGGAUUUAUUUUAACAUCACACCAAACUGGUGACACGUUUCAUUAGUAUUCACAUGUUGCGCAGUGAAUACACAUACUUUGUGCCGCACAGUCAUGGAUAUUUGUGUGUUUUGUGUGAUAUAAAUGUUUAGUAAUAUUUUAGCAAUGAAUUAAUUACUCUCCCUCCAUAGGUUUCAUAAUAAAACAUGAUUAUACCCCAAAA
Long non-coding RNA from Gasterosteus aculeatus aculeatus (three-spined stickleback), 949 nucleotides. RefSeq lists it as uncharacterized. NCBI's taxonomy places the organism in Eukaryota, Metazoa, Chordata, Actinopteri, Perciformes, Gasterosteidae. The record is from RefSeq and is a predicted model, not a curated record.